CUUCCAUCGGAGCUCGUCAGA
RNAcentral lists this microRNA (21 nucleotides) under Ectocarpus siliculosus. Its description in RNAcentral is "esi-miR3454d-3p". Lineage: Eukaryota; Phaeophyceae; Ectocarpales; Ectocarpaceae. The record is from miRBase by way of RNAcentral.